This is a long non-coding RNA of Mya arenaria, 399 nucleotides long. RefSeq lists it as uncharacterized. Lineage: Eukaryota; Metazoa; Mollusca; Bivalvia; Myida; Myidae. The transcript is spliced from 3 exons. The record is from RefSeq and is a predicted model, not a curated record.
AAACUUCGGAGUUAAUUUCCGGCUUUGUUGACGUAUAUAAAAGCCAUCGCUGGCUAAGAGUAAUCACCUCUCCAUUCUCCAAACAUGAACAAGCUACUCAUCGUUCUUCUUUUGGUCAGCUGCCUGUCCAUGACAUUGCUGCCAGCUACUGUUGAAGCCCAGAUAAAUCGCCCCUCCUGCGAGUGCCGAUACCGUUGUUACGGGGGUGAGAUCGAAAGCGGCCGCUGUGGCGGUAGGUACAGCACCAGAGUCAACUGUUGCCGGCGGAGAAGAGGAAGCGGUGGAUAUUAGGGACUAGAGGCUAAUGAGACAAUGCAUGACGGAACGAAAUCACCAUUAAACAUAUUUCUUCACGAUAUAUGUUUUGUUUGUUGUGUAAAUAAAGUGUCAUUGAAAUAA